AAUUGCAUUGUCGUUGUGUUUUCAAAUGUCUCCGGUUUAGGGGCUCGGAAAGGCCAGAGCAGGGGGAAUGAGAGG
Long non-coding RNA from Etheostoma spectabile (orangethroat darter), 75 nucleotides. RefSeq lists it as uncharacterized. NCBI's taxonomy places the organism in Eukaryota, Metazoa, Chordata, Actinopteri, Perciformes, Percidae. The record is from RefSeq and is a predicted model, not a curated record. The transcript has 3 exons.